GACGAACGCUGGCGGCGUGCUUAACACAUGCAAGUCGAACGGGCCUUGUCCCCUUUUUUUUUGGGGGUGGGGUUAGUGGCGAACGGGUGAGUAACACGUGAGUAACCUGCCCCUCACUUCUGGAUAACCGCUUGAAAGGGUGGCUAAUACGGGGUGUUCUGGCCUGCUCGCAUGGGUGGGUUUGGAAAGAUUCGACCGGUUUUGGUUGUUUUGGUGGGGGAUGGGCUCGCGGCCUAUCAGCUUGUUGGUGGGGUGAUGGCCUGCCAAGGCUUGGACGGGUAGCCGGCCUGAGAGGGUGGGCGGUCACACUGGGACUGAGACACGGCCCAGACUCCUACGGGAGGCAGCAGUGGGGAAUAUUGCACAAUGGGCGCAAGCCUGAUGCAGCGCCGCCGCGUGAGGGAUGGAGGCCUUCGGGUUGUGAACCUCUUUCGCCAGUGAAGAAGGUCCUGCUCUUUGUGGUGGGGUUGACGGUAGCUGGGUUAAUGAAGCGCCGGCUAACUACGUG
This 508-nucleotide ribosomal RNA is filed under the name uncultured bacterium. Its description in RNAcentral is "partial 16S ribosomal RNA". It matches the Rfam family "Bacterial small subunit ribosomal RNA", at positions 28 to 507 of the family's 1533-position model. The record is from RNAcentral.